UCUAGUGAUGAUGGCAAAGAUGUCACACCCGUUCCCAUACCGAACACGGAAGUUAAGCUCUUUAGCGCCGAUGGUAGUUGGGGGCUUCCCCCUGUGAGAGUAGGACGUCGCUAGGC
RNAcentral lists this ribosomal RNA (116 nucleotides) under Lysinibacillus capsici. RNAcentral also lists the same sequence under 1 other name. The record is from RNAcentral. Lineage: Bacteria; Bacillati; Bacillota; Bacilli; Caryophanales; Bacillaceae.